GCCACUUUAGCUCAGUGGCAGAGCGUCUGUCUCGUAAACAGAAGGUCGCAGGUUCAAACCCUGCAAGUGGCA
Non-coding RNA from Rhabditophanes sp. KR3021, 72 nucleotides. The record is from Rfam. NCBI's taxonomy places the organism in Eukaryota, Metazoa, Nematoda, Chromadorea, Rhabditida, Alloionematidae.